GUUUAUGGUCAUGUCACCCUGAACUCACUAGAUCCAGUCUCGGAAGCUAAGCCGGGUCGAGCCUGGUUAGUACUUGGAUGAGAAACCAACUGGAAAUACCGUGUGCUGUAGACU
Molecule: ribosomal RNA, 114 nt
Organism: Vicugna pacos (alpaca)
Lineage: Eukaryota; Metazoa; Chordata; Mammalia; Artiodactyla; Camelidae
Source: Ensembl